UUAGUUAGGUCAAAAAUAGCACAAGAACGUUGGUUAGCUCAUAACUUAGUGCAUCUUACUCGAAAAUAAACUAAUAAGCUCAAAAUAAGAUAAGUAAUCUUCUUCACCUUCUUCUUCUACUUCUUCUUCUUUUUCUCCUCCUCCUUAUAGUCUUCUUCUCCUUCUCCCCCUCCUUCUUCUAGUUUUAUUCUCCAAAAUGACAUACUUAGCUAAUUAUCCUCCUAAAUGACAUAAUUAGCUUAUUUAGUUCAUUUAUGGCAUAAUUACCUUAGUUAGGUCAAAAAUAGCACAAGAACCUUG
Molecule: long non-coding RNA, 300 nt
Filed under: Hordeum vulgare
Lineage: Eukaryota; Viridiplantae; Streptophyta; Magnoliopsida; Poales; Poaceae
Description: long non-coding RNA (HVUL_LNC003806)
Source: RNAcentral